Molecule: RNA transcript, 902 nt
Organism: Anneissia japonica
Lineage: Eukaryota; Metazoa; Echinodermata; Crinoidea; Comatulida; Comatulidae
Gene name: neuronal acetylcholine receptor subunit alpha-5-like
Exons: 5
Source: RefSeq, a predicted model, not a curated record
AAUUAUUGAGAGGUUUACCUUCAGGAUUUGAAUCCAGGGCCCAAUGUGCGUUACGGUGUGCAAUGAACCACGCAAACAACGUAUGAAUAGCGCAUAUCAAAGUGAUAAAAUAAAAUGUUGUACCUAAGAGUAUCGUAUGCUGUCUCCCUCCUUCACUGUUGAUGCAUGAUCUGGUUGAUACAAGCCGGAGAUAUAUUUUCGAGUACAAUCAUGCUCUGACUGAGAAUAAAGAGCGAUUAUAAUUGGCUAUGCAGACGGUGAGUUGAAAUCAGUAUACGACAACCCAUGUGAUUGGUCAGUUUCCUACGAACGAUCGUCCAUGAAUAAUAACCUAUUUUUAGGCAAAUAGUUUGAAACAAGCGUUAGUCUUUUUCGUGAUAUUCCUGUAUCAUUGCCUCUUAGUCCAUUCAGUGUCAUUUGUCGCACAUGAUCAAGAAAAUUGAAACACGUCAGCACCGUUGAUUCUAAUGAAACUGGCUGAACCAUCAAUCUAGGACACUUUAUGAAGUGCUAAAGGACAACGUAGUGAGAAGCUAUUUAAACAACUCCCUGGUUAUAACAUGAUGGUGGUCUCCUACUUGGCCGUGUUGUUUGCAUUGCUGAUAUCGGCAACAGAUUUUGUGGAUGCUGAUAUUCGAAAUCUUGUAAAGCAUUUAAUGGAGGACGAAAAACUACCAUAUACAGCGUAUAUCAGACCAGUUAAGAACGAAAACACAACGAAAAACAUCUCAUACGACGUCGUACCGAAGAAUCUUAUAACAUUUGAUGAAGUAAAACAACAAAUCCGUUUACGUGUGUGGUUAAGGGAGGUAGGUGCCGUAGGGGCCUGACUGUACACAGCUGGCCACAGAAGACCAAAUGAAAUGUAUCUCGUCCCAUUCCUAAUCGUUUUUAGCAUUUAU